UUAGGUUAAGUUAUUAAGGGCGUAUGGUGGAUGCCUUGGCACUAGGAGCCGAUGAAGGACGUGACUAACUGCGAUAUGCUUCGGGGAGUUGUAAGUAAACUAUGAUCCGGAGAUUUCCGAAUGGGGAAACCUAACAGGUUUUACCGCCUGUUAUCACUAAGUGAAUUCAUAGCUUAGUUGAAGGUAGACGUGGGGAACUGAAACAUCUAAGUACCCACAGGAAGAGAAAGAAAUUCGAUUCCCUCAGUAGCGGCGAGCGAACCGGGAAGAGCCCAAACUAAGAAGCUUGCUUCUUAGGGUUGUAGGACUGAACAUUUGAGUUACCAAGAAAUGAAGUAGUUGAAUAAUCUGGGAAGAUUAGCCAAAGAGAGUGAUAGCCUCGUAAGCGAAACUUCGUUUCCUCAGUUCAGGAUCCUGAGUACGGCGGAACACGUGAAACUCCGUCGGAAUCCGGGAGGACCAUCUCCCAAGGCUAAAUACUACCUAGUGACCGAUAGUGAACCAGUACCGUGAGGGAAAGGUGAAAAGCACCCCGGGAGGGGAGUGAAAUAGUUCCUGAAACCAUAUGCCUACAAGUAGUCAGAGCUCGUUAAUGAGUGAUGGCGUGCCUUUUGUAGAAUGAACCGGCGAGUUACGUUAGCGUGCGAGGUUAAGGAGGAAAGUCCGGAGCCGUAGCGAAAGCGAGUCUGAAUAGGGCGAGAUAGUACGUUGACGUAGACCCGAAACCAGGUGACCUACCCAUGUCCAGGUUGAAGGUGCGGUAAAACGCACUGGAGGACCGAACCCGUGUAUGUUGAAAAAUGCUGGGAUGAGGUGUGGGUAGAGGUGAAAUUCCAAACGAACUUGGAGAUAGCUGGUUCUCUCCGAAAUAGCUUUAGGGCUAGCCUCGGAGUUAAGAAUCGUGGAGGUAGAGCACUGUUUGGACUAGGGGCCCGUCUUGGGUUACUGAAUUCAGAUAAACUCCGAAUGCCACAGAUUUAUAUCCGGGAGUCAGACUGCGAGUGAUAAGAUCCGUAGUCGAAAGGGAAACAGCCCAGACCACCGAUUAAGGUCCCAAAAUAUGUGUUAAGUGGAAAAGGAUGUGGAAUUGCAUAGACAACUAGGAUGUUGGCUUAGAAGCAGCCACCAUUUAAAGAGUGCGUAAUAGCUCACUAGUCGAGUGAUCCUGCGCCGAAAAUGUAACGGGGCUAAACACAUUACCGAAAUCGUGGAUGUACCGUAAGGUACAUGGUAGGAGAGCGUUCUAAGGACGGCGAAGCUAGACCGUAAGGACUGGUGGAGUGCUUAGAAGUGAGAAUGCCGGUAUGAGUAGCGAAAGAUCAGUGAGAAUCUGGUCCACCGUAUGACUAAGGUUUCCUGGGGAAGGCUCGUCCUCCCAGGGUUAGUCGGGACCUAAGCCGAGGCCGAGAGGCGUAGGCGAUGGAUAACAGGUUGAGAUUCCUGUACUGGUUAAACUUGUUUGAACAAUGGAGGGACGCAGGAGGCUAUCGAUGCGUACUGUUGGAUAUGUACGUUCAAGCAAUAAGUCUGUAGAUGAGUCAAAUGCUUAUCUACUUAAGGACAAGUUGUGAUGAGGAGCGAAAUUUAGUAGCGAAGUGAGAGACGUCACACUGCCAAGAAAAGCUUCUAGUUAGAGUUUAAUCACCCGUACCGCAAACCGACACAGGUAGUCGAGGCGAGUAGCCUAAGGUGAGCGAGAGAACUCUCGUUAAGGAACUCGGCAAAAUGACCCCGUAACUUCGGGAGAAGGGGUGCUGAGCGCAAGCUCAGCCGCAGUGAAUAGGCCCAGGCGACUGUUUAUCAAAAACACAGGUUUCUGCAAAAUCGUAAGAUGAAGUAUAGGGGCUGACGCCUGCCCGGUGCUGGAAGGUUAAGAGGAUGGGUUAGCGUAAGCGAAGCUCAGAAUUGAAGCCCCAGUAAACGGCGGCCGUAACUAUAACGGUCCUAAGGUAGCGAAAUUCCUUGUCGGGUAAGUUCCGACCCGCACGAAAGGCGUAACGAUCUGGGCACUGUCUCAACGAGAGACUCGGUGAAAUUAUAAUACCCGUGAAGAUGCGGGUUACCCGCGACAGGACGGAAAGACCCCAUGGAGCUUUACUGUAGCUUGAUAUUGGGUGUUU
This 2120-nucleotide ribosomal RNA is filed under the name Ligilactobacillus salivarius. Its description in RNAcentral is "bacterial LSU rRNA". It matches the Rfam family "Bacterial large subunit ribosomal RNA", at positions 1 to 2126 of the family's 2925-position model. The record is from RNAcentral. Lineage: Bacteria; Bacillati; Bacillota; Bacilli; Lactobacillales; Lactobacillaceae.